CCCGCACAAGCGGAGGAACAUGUGGUUAAUUCGAUGAUACGCGAGGAACCUUACCUGGGCUUAAAUGGGGAGUGACAGCUGUCGAAAGAUGGUUUUCUUCGGACACUCUUCAAGGUGCUGCAUGGUUGUCGUCAGCUCGUGCCGUGAGGUGUCGGGUUAAGUCCCAUAACGAGCGCAACCCUUACCGUUAGUUACCAUCAGGUUAAGCUGGGGACUCUAGCGGGACUGCCACCGUAAGGUGAGAGGAAGGUGGGGAUGACGUCAAAUCAGCACGGCCCUUAUGUCCAGGGCUACACACGUGUUACAAUGGCCGGUACAAAGGGCAGCUACUUCGCGAGAAGAUGCUAAUCUCGAAAGCCGGUCUCAGUUCGGAUCGAAGUCUGCAACCCGACUUCGUGAAGCUGGAUUCGCUAGUAAUCGCGCAUCAGCCAUGGCGCGGUGAAUACGUUCCCGGGCCUU
This 459-nucleotide ribosomal RNA is filed under the name uncultured Sphingobacteriales bacterium. RNAcentral describes it as "bacterial SSU rRNA". It matches the Rfam family "Bacterial small subunit ribosomal RNA", at positions 920 to 1382 of the family's 1533-position model. The record is from RNAcentral. Lineage: Bacteria; Pseudomonadati; Bacteroidota; Sphingobacteriia; Sphingobacteriales.